GUGCCAGCCGCCGCGGUAAUACCAGCCCCGCGAGUGGUCGGGACUCUUGCUGGGCCUAAAGCGCCCGUAGCCGGCCCGGUAAGUCCCUCCUUAAAGCCCCGGGCUCAACCCGGGGAGCGGGGGGAUACUGCCGGGCUAGGGGGCGGGAGAGGCCGGGGGUACCCCAGGGGUAGGGGCGAAAUCCGAUAAUCCCUGGGGGACCACCAGUGGCGAAGGCGCCCGGCUGGAACGCGCCCGACGGUGAGGGGCGAAAGCCGGGGGAGCGAACCGGAUUAGAUACCCGGGUAGUCCCGGCUGUAAACUAUGCGGGCCAGGUGUCGGGCGGGCGUUAGAGCCCGCCCGGUGCCGCAGGGAAGCCGUUAAGCCCGCCGCCUGGGGAGUACGGCCGCAAGGCUGAAACUUAAAGGAAUUGGCGGGGGGGCACCACAAGGGGUGGAACCUGCGGCUCAAUUGGAGUCAACACCUGGAAGUUUACCGGGGGAGACCGCAGGAUGACGGCCAGGCUAACGACCUUGCCUGACUCGCGGAGAGGAGGUGCAUGGCCGUCGCCAGUUCGUGUUGUGAAAUGUCCGGUUAAGUCCGGCAACGAGCGAGACCCCCACCCCUAGUUGGUACCCUGGCCUCCGGGCCAGGGCCACACUAGGGGGACUGCCGCCGUAAGGCGGAGGAAGGAGGGGGCCACGGCAGGUCAGCAUGCCCCGAAACCCCCGGGCCGCACGCGGGUUACAAUGGCAGGGACAGCGGGAUCCUGCCCCGAGAGGGGUGGGCAAUCCCUAAACCCUGCCUCAGUUGGGAUCGAGGGCUGCAACUCGCCCUCGUGAACAAGGAAUCCCUAGUAACCGCAGGUCACCAACCUGCGGUGAAUACGUCCCUGCUCCUUGCACACACCGCCCGUC
This 896-nucleotide ribosomal RNA is filed under the name uncultured archaeon. RNAcentral's name for it is "SSU rRNA". It matches the Rfam family "Archaeal small subunit ribosomal RNA", at positions 455 to 1354 of the family's 1478-position model. The record is from RNAcentral.